GCUGGCCUUUAGUCACGGCUACUUAGGAAGCUGAGACAAGAGAAUUGCUUGAGCUCAGGAGUUCUGGACUGUAGUGCACUAUGUCAGUUGGGUGUCUGCACUAAGUUUGGCAUCAAUAUGGUGACCUCCCAAGAGCAGGGAACCACCAUGUUGCCUAAGGAGAGGUGAACUGGCCCAGGUCUGAAACAGAAUGGGUCAAAACCCCUGUGCUGAUCAGUAGUGACAUCGUGCCUGGGAAUAGCCAUUCCACUCCAGGCUGGGCGACAUAGCAAGACCUUGUCUCUC
Unclassified non-coding RNA from Callithrix jacchus (white-tufted-ear marmoset), 285 nucleotides. It matches the Rfam family "Metazoan signal recognition particle RNA". From Rfam's summary of the family: The signal recognition particle (SRP) is a universally conserved ribonucleoprotein. NCBI's taxonomy places the organism in Eukaryota, Metazoa, Chordata, Mammalia, Primates, Cebidae. The record is from Ensembl.